RNAcentral lists this long non-coding RNA (414 nucleotides) under Bos taurus (domestic cattle). Its description in RNAcentral is "long non-coding RNA NONBTAT024459". Lineage: Eukaryota; Metazoa; Chordata; Mammalia; Artiodactyla; Bovidae. The record is from RNAcentral.
GUUCUCCUUAUAAUUUCAUUUUAUUAUGUAUAGGUUUUGUGAAACUGAAAAAAGUUGGUUUUACAGUCAUUAUAUUUUAACUUACAUAUCCAUGUGCUAUAUUCUUAUUGUAAAAUGUUAUGAAUUAACUCAGGACAUUAGAAGAAUUUUUAUAGUAAGCAUAGAUAUGUUUUUCUUUUGGGUAAUAUUGGAAAAAUGUCAUAAUCUAUGUUUCUGAAAGAUCUAUAAGGAAAUCUGUUUUAUGUUUUUUGUGCCGAAGGCUUUCUUUUUAAUAUCAACCUAGACGAAAAUUUCUGUUCUAUCUUUCUGUUAUACCAGAUGUACUUAAAAAGCACAUCGUUCUAAUGUAUAUCUGUCAUUGUAUAUCUGUCUAGAAAGUAGCACAUUAUUAUAAUGCUUCCUAGUUUUUAAUAU